AGGUGCGAUCAUACUAGCACUAAAGCACCGGAUCCCAUCAGAACUCCGCACUUAAGCGUGCUUGGCAAGAGUAGUACUAGGAUGGGUGACCUCCUGGGAUGUUCUCUUGUUGCACCUC
RNAcentral lists this ribosomal RNA (118 nucleotides) under Vigna angularis (adzuki bean). Lineage: Eukaryota; Viridiplantae; Streptophyta; Magnoliopsida; Fabales; Fabaceae. The record is from RNAcentral.